GACGAACGCUGGCGGCGUGCUUAACACAUGCAAGUCGAACGGAAAGGCCCUGCUUUUGUGGGGUGCUCGAGUGGCGAACGGGUGAGUAACACGUGAGUAACCUGCCCUUGACUUUGGGAUAACUUCAGGAAACUGGGGCUAAUACCGGAUAGCAGCUCCUGCUGCAUGGUGGGGGUUGGAAAGUUUCGGCGGUUGGGGAUGGACUCGCGGCUUAUCAGCUUGUUGGUGGGGUAGUGGCUUACCAAGGCUUUGACGGGUAGCCGGCCUGAGAGGGUGACCGGCCACAUUGGGACUGAGAUACGGCCCAGACUCCUACGGGAGGCAGCAGUGGGGAAUAUUGCACAAUGGGCGGAAGCCUGAUGCAGCAGCGCCGCGUGCGGGAUGACGGCCUUCGGGUUGUAAACCGCUUUCGCCUGUGACGAAGCGUGAGUGACGGUAAUGGGUAAAGAAGCACCGGCUAACUACGUG
This 468-nucleotide ribosomal RNA is filed under the name uncultured bacterium. RNAcentral describes it as "partial 16S ribosomal RNA". It matches the Rfam family "Bacterial small subunit ribosomal RNA", at positions 28 to 507 of the family's 1533-position model. The record is from RNAcentral.